CCGUGGAUGGAUUUCAUCAGGUCCCAUGGACUUGUGCACAUUCAGUUUCCUAAGAUGAUCUCGAACCUGGUCCUCUCUUACAGUGGGCCCAAGGUCUUUAUUCUCACAGUCCCUGCAUCUACCUUCCAAGACUUGGGCGGUGUGGGCAGAGCAGUUG
Strigops habroptila (Kakapo) is the source of this 157-nucleotide long non-coding RNA. RefSeq lists it as uncharacterized. Lineage: Eukaryota; Metazoa; Chordata; Aves; Psittaciformes; Psittacidae. The transcript is spliced from 3 exons. The record is from RefSeq and is a predicted model, not a curated record.